AGUAAACGGCUGCAUAAAUCUGAGUGUACUAAGGUAGCGCUAUAAUUUGCCCUUUAAAUGGGGGCUGGUAUGAAUGGGUUCACGUGAGAGUUGCUGUGUCACAAAAAUUGAAAUUAACUUCUAGGUGAAGAGGCCUAGCUUAGUUUAGAGGACGACAAGACCCUAGAAGCUUUAUUCUCCUUUUCUUUUGUUGGGGCAACAUAGCUAAAAAAUAUAGCACCGACAGGUUUUAUCCAGAUUAGUGAGUAAGAGCUACUCUAGGGAUAACAGCGUUAUUUUUUUUAAUAGUACAUAUUGUAAAAAAAGUUUGCGACCUCGAUGUUGGACUAAGGUGUCCUUAAAGUGCAGAAGCUUUAGAGGGUUGGCCUGUUCGUCCAUUAAAACCUUACAUGAUCUGA
RNAcentral lists this ribosomal RNA (398 nucleotides) under Idas simpsoni. RNAcentral describes it as "partial 16S ribosomal RNA". It matches the Rfam family "Bacterial large subunit ribosomal RNA", at positions 1922 to 2608 of the family's 2925-position model. The record is from RNAcentral. Lineage: Eukaryota; Metazoa; Mollusca; Bivalvia; Mytilida; Modiolidae.